GGGGAACUUGAGUGCAGAAGAGGAGAGUGGAAUUCCACGUGUAGCGGUGAAAUGCGUAGAGAUGUGGAGGAACACCAGUGGCGAAGGCGACUCUCUGGUCUGUAACUGACGCUGAGGAGCGAAAGCGUGGGGAGCGAACAGGAUUAGAUACCCUGGUAGUCCACGCCGUAAACGAUGAGUGCUAAGUGUUAGGGGGUUUCCGCCCCUUAGUGCUGCAGCUAACGCAUUAAGCACUCCGCCUGGGGAGUACGGUCGCAAGACUGAAACUCAAAGGAAUUGACGGGGGCCCGCACAAGCGGUGGAGCAUGUGGUUUAAUUCGAAGCAACGCGAAGAACCUUACCAGGUCUUGACAUCCUCUGACAAUCCUAGAGAUAGGACGUCCCCUUCGGGGGCAGAGUGACAGGUGGUGCAUGGUUGUCGUCAGCUCGUGUCGUGAGAUGUUGGGUUAAGUCCCGCAACGAGCGCAACCCUUGAUCUUAGUUGCCAGCAUUCAGUUGGGCACUCUAAGGUGACUGCCGGUGACAAACCGGAGGAAGGUGGGGAUGACGUCAAAUCAUCAUGCCCCUUAUGACCUGGGCUACACACGUGCUACAAUGGACAGAACAAAGGGCAGCGAAACCGCGAGGUUAAG
This 632-nucleotide ribosomal RNA is filed under the name Bacillus subtilis. Its description in RNAcentral is "bacterial SSU rRNA". It matches the Rfam family "Bacterial small subunit ribosomal RNA", at positions 635 to 1267 of the family's 1533-position model. Lineage: Bacteria; Bacillati; Bacillota; Bacilli; Caryophanales; Bacillaceae. The record is from RNAcentral.